GAGCUGGAGGAGCUCAAGAAGGGCGUGGAGCCGGCGUGGGAGUGCUUGGUCCACCCGCUCGAGCGCAUCGUCGAUAGGCUUGACAUCGUAUGGAACGGCAUCGACCACAUCAAGGUCGUCAAGGACUCGCUCGACCUCCGCGCUGCUGUCGAGGACGUCCAGGUAGUCUCUUCUUCUAUCACGUCGCCCAUGAUCUGGAUGGACGAAGCAGCUAAUUUGUUAGCGCAUCAUCAGAUGUUGUCUUUGUAUUUCUUCUUGCUCCAUGAAUUAUCCAGCAAUAUGGUGCAUAGAUAGAAAUUUCACAUAGUUCUUGGUUUCGUGCUUGCACCUUUGGUCCACAUGGUUUUUGUGGGGAUAUGGUACCAGACUAGAGCAUACAGGCUGAUGAUUUCUAGACGCAUAUAGAUUGUGGAUGCCAUGUCUGAAAAUUUUCAAUUUUGGAUGACUCAAACCGGCUCUAGCUAGCAAUCUCUCUCUCCAUCUCUUUGUAUGUGCGCGUCUGUGCAUCCAUUGCAUGUAAAAUCAUGUUUUCAAACUCUUCUACUGUCAGAUAGACUGACCAUGAAUGCACCAACACAUUGUGUCAGUUUUCCAUGCUCUGUCUAGUACUAGUUCCCAACUUCCUAUACAUAUAGGAGUAUUUUGCUUGCUUUGGUUUCCAAAGCAAAAUACCAUGGCUGGGCGACGUCCGUCUGUCCUGGGUUACGUUAGCAUACUAGUACAACACAGCUAGUCAUAACAAGGUUAGUUCAUCAUAUACUGCGCUUGAUAUAAAUGUUUAGCUUCUAACAAAAAGUAAUUUGGGAAUAAAUUCUUCCAUCAGUUUAAUAUGAUUUCUAUUGAUAGAUUUUUCUAGAACUGUUGAAAUUGUGAUCAACACAGUAUACUGUUGGGUUCUUACCCAUAACAUGAGGAUAUCUAUUUUUCAAAUGUGGAAGCCAUCAUAACAUCAGCUGGUCAUAGUUAUACGCAUUGUUUAACUUUUUCUUCUUUGAAUUUCACAUUGCAGUUCUUUGAUGUAGUGGGGUUGUGUUGUGGGUACCUGGGUAACUAAAGUUGCUUCUAUUCUGUAACUGUAUGCUUCUAGGAAUGUCACAUUGCAUCGUGCAGACUAUGGGUCUAGAUCUGGCAGUUGAAAGUGCUUAAUCUUUCUAUAAGUUUCAACUGAAGCUAUUUGUAUACAAUAAUUUACCGAAUAAGCAAAAAUUUGUGAAUAUACUACGCUUGAUGUUGAUCAUCUGGUGCAUUAGUAUGCAGUUCUCAUUGUCAGUUCUUGUUUUCUUGAUUCAUUUAUACUAUAUGAUUCAGGUUUUAUACUUUGCCAGUAGGUAGCUCAUACUGCCCGCUUGCUUCUGCUUUGAAUAUUGUGGUCUGCAUGCUAUAGUCACUGUGCCCUUAGUUGUUUUUUUGUAGGGAGCUAUGCUUAUCAUCAGAAACUCUUGGUGAUGAUGUUAUUCCUCUUUUGGUUCAUGUGUUGCAAUUAUAUACCUCAUAAUUCUACACCAUGUGGUGCACUUAAGUAUCUUAGUGACUUCAUUUGAUGUGUGUAUUUCUGUUAAUUUUAAGCUUCUGUUGCUGUGAAAAUGUACCUCACUGACCGUCUGUCUAUUUAUUGUGUACUUCUUGCAUGAGGAGGUGACUAGUGAUGUGGCGCGCCAAGCAGCAAUAGGGGAAGGGGGUCUCCUGAUCAAGGAGGCGGAGGAGUAGGGGCGUGCCCAGCCGGCAGCCAUGUCCUGCUCGUGGGGGAGGGGCAGGAGGGGUCUGCUCCUCUGCUUACAUUGUGACCGCGGCAGAUGCCUUGGUUCAGCCUCUACAAACAUACCCGAAAAUGGUGUUUCCUCUCAUUUACAAGAGCUCCAGCAAAGUGAACUAGGAAGUAUAUUUGAAGUACUAAGCCGUGUAGCAAAGAGUUAUAUGUUCUGUCUUAUGUGUAAUAGACUGGAAAGAUUUGAAUAAUAUUGUAAUAGACUAUGUACAGAUUGUAGUUGACUUAUUUAUCCUUCUUUGACGAACUACAUUUGUUAUGUUCUGUUUGAAAUAUUCA
Molecule: non-coding RNA, 2044 nt
Organism: Triticum urartu
Lineage: Eukaryota; Viridiplantae; Streptophyta; Magnoliopsida; Poales; Poaceae
Source: RefSeq, a predicted model, not a curated record